UACAGGGGGGGCAAGCGUUGUUCGGAAUUACUGGGCGUAAAGGGCUCGUAGGUGGCCAACUAAGUCGGACGUGAAAUCCCUCAGCUUAACUGGGGAACUGCGUCUGAUACUGGAUGGCUUGAGAUUGGGAGAGGGAUGCGGAAUUCCAGGUGUAGCGGUGAAAUGCGUAGAUAUCUGGAGGAACACCGGUGGCGAAGGCGGCAUCCUGGACCAACACUGACACUGAGGAGCGAAAGCCAGGGGAGCAAACGGG
Molecule: ribosomal RNA, 253 nt
Filed under: uncultured bacterium
Lineage: Bacteria
Description: partial 16S ribosomal RNA
Rfam family: Bacterial small subunit ribosomal RNA
Source: RNAcentral